AUGUGGGCCUCGCCGGGGAGGCUGCCGGCGAUGGAGGAGGAGGAGGAGUGCGAGGCGGGCGCGGGCCACCGGGCGCCGAUGGCGUCCUGCUGGGGCCGCUUCGGCCUGGCGGCGCUGUGGCACAGGCUCCGGCACCUUUUCCUGGCGCGGCGGAGGGCGCGGCACGGCCGCUCCAUCCUCGGCGCCGGCGGGCUCAACUACGACCCGCUGAGCUACGCGCAGAACUUCGACGACAGCAGCCUCGAGCUCCACGAGCCGGACUUCACGGCCAGGUUCGCGCCCGCCCGCAACGCCUGCUCGCCCAGGCGGGCAUGA
Molecule: ribosomal RNA, 315 nt
Filed under: Triticum aestivum (bread wheat)
Lineage: Eukaryota; Viridiplantae; Streptophyta; Magnoliopsida; Poales; Poaceae
Description: partial small subunit ribosomal RNA
Source: RNAcentral